GAUGAACGCUGGCGGCGUGCCUAAUACAUGCAAGUCGAGCGAACAGACGAGGAGCUUGCUCCUCUGACGUUAGCGGCGGACGGGUGAGUAACACGUGGAUAACCUACCUAUAAGACUGGGAUAACUUCGGGAAACCGGAGCUAAUACCGGAUAAUAUAUUGAACCGCAUGGUUCAAUAGUGAAAGACGGUUUUGCUGUCACUUAUAGAUGGAUCCGCGCCGCAUUAGCUAGUUGGUAAGGUAACGGCUUACCAAGGCAACGAUGCGUAGCCGACCUGAGAGGGUGAUCGGCCACACUGGAACUGAGACAGGGUCCAGACUCCUACGGGAGGCAGCAGUAGGGAAUCUUCCGCAAUGGGCGAAAGCCGGACGGAGCAACGCCGCGUGAGUGAUGAAGGUCUUCGGAUCGUAAAACUCUGUUAUUAGGGAAGAACAAAUGUGUAAGUAACUAUGCACGUCUUGACGGUACCUAAUCAGAAAGCCACGGCUAACUACGUG
RNAcentral lists this ribosomal RNA (497 nucleotides) under uncultured bacterium. Its description in RNAcentral is "partial 16S ribosomal RNA". It matches the Rfam family "Bacterial small subunit ribosomal RNA", at positions 28 to 507 of the family's 1533-position model. The record is from RNAcentral.